RNAcentral lists this ribosomal RNA (387 nucleotides) under uncultured bacterium. RNAcentral describes it as "bacterial SSU rRNA". It matches the Rfam family "Bacterial small subunit ribosomal RNA", at positions 28 to 417 of the family's 1533-position model. The record is from RNAcentral.
GACGAACGCUGGCGGCGUGCUUAACACAUGCAAGUCGAGCGGUAAGGCCCUUUCGGGGGUACACGAGCGGCGAACGGGUGAGUAACACGUGGGUGACCUGCCCUUAGCUCUGGGAUAAGCCUGGGAAACUGGGUCUAAUACCGGAUAUGACUCCAUGACGCAUGUUGUGGGGUGGAAAGCCUUGUGCGGCUAGGGAUGGGCCUGCGGCCUAUCAGCUUGUUGGUGGGGUGANGGCCUACCAAGGCGACGACGGGUAGCCGGCCUGAGAGGGCGACCGGCCACACUGGGACUGAGACACGGCCCAGACUCCUACGGGAGGCAGCAGUGGCGAAUCUUGCGCAAUGGGCGAAAGCCUGACGCAGCGACGCCGCGUGGGGAUGACGGCCU